Long non-coding RNA from Amblyraja radiata (thorny skate), 471 nucleotides. RefSeq lists it as uncharacterized. The transcript has 3 exons. The record is from RefSeq and is a predicted model, not a curated record. NCBI's taxonomy places the organism in Eukaryota, Metazoa, Chordata, Chondrichthyes, Rajiformes, Rajidae.
GUCUUGAAGGAUUUCGGAAGUCCAAGAGCAAACAACAGCGUCAAUUUGAGUCGAGGAAACUUAAGUUUCAGGCUGCAAAGUGGUCGGGGAAAGCUUCCCAAGAGCACUCGCCAACCAAGUAUCCAAGAAUUAUCAGUGGUCACAAGUUGUGGCCGAAGCAAUGACCACUGCAGGACAACAUUACCAAAGCAGGAAUACACUGGGAUCAAACCGCGGCGGAAGGAGAUAAGUGAGAGUGUGAAGCUGUGUCAGUCUGUGAGAAGGAAUCCCACCCGGCCACGGAGAAGCAUUAAGGCCCAGCAUCUCGCUUUGAACAGGUGCCUUCAGAGCUCUCAGUUAUUCACGAGGACAGACCAGGCCAACAGAACCGCAAGGAUAUGCUCACAGAACCCUACCGAGGACAAGUUGCUGUUGCCAUCAUCGUUUAUCAGUGGCAGUCCAUUUCUUCUUCCACGGAUGUCGUCGGCUCUG